GACCCCGCACAAGCGGUGGAUCAUGUUGUUUAAUUCGAAGAUACGCGAUAAACCUUACCAGGUCUUGACAUACUCAGCAAUGCUUAAGAGAUUAAGCGGAGGUUAUCUGGGAUACAGGUGGUGCAUGGUUGUCGUCAGCUCGUGUCGUGAGAUGUUGGGUUAAGUCCCGCAACGAGCGCAACCCUUGUCGUUAGUUACCAUCAUUAAGUUGGGGACUCUAGCGAGACUGCCAGUGAUAAACUGGAGGAAGGUGGGGAUGACGUCAAAUCAUCAUGCCCCUUAUGACCUGGGCUACAAACGUGAUACAAUGGCUGAAACAAAGGGCAGCAAGCUAGUGAUAGUAAGCGAAACCCAUAAAAGCAGUCUCAGUUCGGAUUGAAGUCUGCAACUCGACUUCAUGAAGUCGGAAUCGCUAGUAAUCGCAGAUCAGAAUGCUGCGGUGAAUACGUUCUCGGGGUUU
This 460-nucleotide ribosomal RNA is filed under the name uncultured bacterium. RNAcentral describes it as "bacterial SSU rRNA". It matches the Rfam family "Bacterial small subunit ribosomal RNA", at positions 917 to 1382 of the family's 1533-position model. The record is from RNAcentral.